AGAUGUGAGGGUGACCUGGCUGUGACAUCUGUCACUAGGCUAGGCAGGUGUACUCUUCCUCCCUUACAGCUCCUUGUGCAUCCACAUCAAAGUUGCGCACUCCAUCCAAGAGGGGGACCUUCCCCAAAGAGAGGAGGACCCAUCUUGGGUCAAGCAUACACAGGUAGCCAGGCUCCCCUGCCAAAACCUCCAGGCAAGCUCUCAAGAAAGCCACUCUGGUGGCCCAUGCUUUUAAUCUCCAGCACUCUGGAGGCAGAGGUAAGAGGAUCUCUGGGAGUUUGUCUGUCUGUUUUUGUUU
Molecule: small nuclear RNA, 298 nt
Filed under: Jaculus jaculus (lesser Egyptian jerboa)
Lineage: Eukaryota; Metazoa; Chordata; Mammalia; Rodentia; Dipodidae
Description: 7SK RNA (ENSJJAG00000008237.1)
Rfam family: 7SK RNA
About the family: 7SK was discovered as an abundant small nuclear RNA in the mid-70s but a possible function has only recently been suggested. Two independent studies have found that 7SK RNA binds the CDK9/cyclin T complex (known as elongation factor P-TEFb).
Source: Rfam by way of RNAcentral